Molecule: long non-coding RNA, 2064 nt
Filed under: Macaca fascicularis (crab-eating macaque)
Lineage: Eukaryota; Metazoa; Chordata; Mammalia; Primates; Cercopithecidae
Description: lncRNA (ENSMFAG00000065840.1)
Source: RNAcentral
GCAAGGUGCAUCCGGGGACUGCAGGAGGGUGAGCGUACCAUGCCCACCUGGUCCCCUCCCAAGAGGCUUUCAUUCUGCCCUCAGUGACUCUCACUUGCCCCACUCAUGGAAGAUUGUUUGAAAUAAAAGUGGAUUCACAUCUAUUUAGUUCUGAAGCCUCUCUGGCAUCCCUGGAAUUGGCAAAGAUGCCUAGGAUGGGCUCCCCAAGGUGAGGCUUGGAGCAGCCACAGGGAAUCCAGCAGUGGGAGGCACUCUGAAGUCCUGGGUACUCCAAGCCUUCCUUGACUUUCACUCAUGUGAAAGAUUAGUAAAGACAGUCUUUGGCAUUUUGUCCAUAGGGACCAAGAUUUUACUUUAAAAAGCAUCCAAAUGUUGCUGGCAGGUUGGAGGUAGAGGCAGGAAAGAUAAGUAAAAACAUGCGAUCCACAUGACGCAAAUAGUUUGAGAAGAUCAUCCAGGGAAGGAGAGGCUUCUUGAUGCCAGAAUUAGGACAGGGCUUUCCAGCUGACAAGGAAGGUCACCCACCUAUGAGUAAAAAGUGAGUGGGUAAGGUCCUUUGCAAGGGCCCCUUUGGUUCUAAUAUUGAAAAAAUCAUCACCCAGGUCCAGUUUUCACUGGAAAUUUACACCCUAGCCAAACACUGUACUUUGUAAGAAAUUAGGAAAAGACAUUUUCUGCCUUCAGAAAUCUUAACAAACCCCACUAUAAGUUUCAUUUGUGCAUUGUUGCAUAACAAAUGAUACUAAAAUAUGGUAGCUUAAAACAACAAUCAUUUAUCAUUACUUGCAAUUCUGUGGGUUGACUGGGCUCAGCUGGGUGGUUCUUCUGAUCUAUGGUGAUGUCAUCAGGGGUCACUGUCAUCCAGAAGCUCAACUGGGCUGGAGUCAGCCCUCUCUCAUUCACUCACCUACCUGGAAGUUCCUGCUGGCUGUCAGUCAGGGGCUCAGGUGAGCCGUUGAUAGAAGCACCUCAAUUUCCUUCCAUAUGGACUCUCUACUAGGCUGGAGCUUAACACAGCAUAGCGCUAAAUUCCAAGCAGGAGUUUUUCAAGCAAGGGAAAGCAAAAGUUGCAAAUCUCUUAAGCCCUGACUUUGGAAGUUACACAACAUCACUGUUGUCACAUUCUAAUGAGCAAACCAAGUCAUAUGCCAGCCAAGAUGCAAGAGGAGUGGAAAGAAUCUUCACCCCUUGAUGGGAGAGGUGGCAGAAACUUUGCAGCCACCUUUUAACCCACUGCAGGUGGUCACCGUUAGGGAAAUAGAGAAUGAAACCCAACUUUGGUGACAUUAUUAUGGUGCUAAAGACCCCAGUUCACGGGCUGAGGAGUCACAACAAAUCGAGUGGAGGAGCAGUCACAUCACAACUGGCAGGGAGACCAACAACCUGAGGGCACAAAGCUGUGGAUACAGGAGAAACCUCUCCUCUUUCACUCCCUGUGUGAGCAUUGAUGACAGGAGUGGAGGCCUGGUGUUUUGAAGUCCAUUGACCUGGUCUAGCCACCUUUUUCUUUCCUUCUUUUGAGUCUGGAUAGGAUGUUCCUCAUGCAAACAGGAAGUCUUCUUUAACUGCAAACUCCUACUUCAAGUCUCCUGGUGAGAUGAGACUAGGAAACCUACUUCCUCUCCGCACCUUUCAAUUCCAAGCUCCAAACACAUCGUUCAACACUUGUUUUCCACAAGAAGUGACAAUGCUGUGAACUAAACAAAGUAGAACUUCAUCCUAGGGCUUAAUUCAUGUGUGGUAAGUUAAGACUACAUAGAUAGGCCGGGCACGGUGGCUCACGCCUGUAAUCCCAGCACUUUGGGAGGUGGAGGCAGGCAGAUCAAUUGAGGUCAGAGUUUAAGACCAGCCUGGCCAACAUGAUGAAACCAUUUUUACUAAAAAUACAAAAAUUAGCCAGGUGUGGUGGCACAUACCUGUAGUCCCAGCUACUCGGGAGACUGAGGCACGAGAAUUGCUUGAACCUGGGAGGCAGAGGCUGCAAUGAGCCAAGAUUGUGCCACUGCGCUCCAGCCUGGGUAACAGAGUGAAACUUCAUCUCAAAAAAUAAAAAGUAAAAAAAAA